Molecule: ribosomal RNA, 497 nt
Filed under: uncultured bacterium
Lineage: Bacteria
Description: partial 16S ribosomal RNA
Rfam family: Bacterial small subunit ribosomal RNA
Source: RNAcentral
AGUGAACGCUGGCGGUGCGCCUAACACAUGCAAGUCGAACGCGAAAGUCCUUCGGGAUGAGUAGAGUGGCGGACGGGUGAGUAACGCGUCGGAAUCUAUCCUGUAGUGGGGGAUAACGUUUCGAAAGGAACGCUAAUACCGCUUAAGCCCCACGGGGGAAAGCGAGGGAUCUUCGGACCUCGUGCUAUAGGAGGAGCCUGCGUCGGAUUAACUAGUUGGGGAGGUAAAGGGUCACCAAGGCGACGAUCCGUAGCUGGUCUGAGAGGAUGAUCGGCCACACCGGAACUGGGACGCGGUCCGGACUCCUACGGGAGGCAGCAGUGGGGAAUAUAUCGCAAUGGGCGAAAGCCUGACGCAGCCAUACCGCGUGUGGGAAGAAGGCCUGCGGGUUGUAAAGCACUUUCAGUGGGGAGGAAAAGCUGGUGGCUAAUAUCCACCGGCCGUGACGCUACCCACAGAAGAAGCACCGGCUAAUUCCGUGCCAGCCGCCGCAGUAA